RNAcentral lists this ribosomal RNA (253 nucleotides) under uncultured bacterium. Its description in RNAcentral is "partial 16S ribosomal RNA". It matches the Rfam family "Bacterial small subunit ribosomal RNA", at positions 524 to 776 of the family's 1533-position model. The record is from RNAcentral.
UACGUAGGUGGCAAGCGUUAUCCGGAUUUACUGGGUGUAAAGGGCGUGUAGGCGGGGAAGCAAGUCAGAUGUGAAAACCACGGGCUCAACCUGUGGCCUGCAUUUGAAACUGUUUUUCUUGAGUGCUGGAGAGGCAAUCGGAAUUCCGUGUGUAGCGGUGAAAUGCGUAGAUAUACGGAGGAACACCAGUGGCGAAGGCGGAUUGCUGGACAGUAACUGACGUUGAGGCCCGAAAGCGUGGGGAGCAAACAGG